Molecule: long non-coding RNA, 951 nt
Filed under: Paramuricea clavata
Lineage: Eukaryota; Metazoa; Cnidaria; Anthozoa; Malacalcyonacea; Plexauridae
Source: RNAcentral
CUAAUUUGCUAAGUUCAAUAUUGUUGGCUAGAUCUCGUUCGUUGCUAAUCUGGACAAGGUCCUCGAGUCUAUCAGGUGACAUGGCAACUCGCAAAUCAUUGUUUAUUAUUUUGACCUUGCUGUGUGUGCGUUCACAUGAUGCCACUGUACUGUCACAGGCAAGGUAGCGACCUCAAACAAGUCGGGUAAAGGUGGUGCAGAUCAUCUUUGCUGAAAACUUCGAGCAAGGAGGGCAAGCAAAUCCAAGGUGGAAACUUUCUUUUGGACCCUUUCUCUAGACUCUUUCCUUUCCUUCUCUUCGCUGCUAUGAUGCUCGUAUGUAAUCUUCCAGUUGUUACAUUGAAUAUUCUAGUCAUAUGUACUCUUCGUACCAUUUCUUUUGGAAUGUAAACUUUCUCAUCGAUAUGUCCGAUGUUGAAAAAUCUAAAAUAGGUCUAACCGUCAAGAUUCGAAAACGAAGGUUCUAUUUGCCUCCCUCACACACAAUUUCACUUGAAACAUUUUUCUCUUUCAGUUGUGUAGUGAUGCGUUCCAAGAAGCUAAUGACCAUAUGUUGCGCGAACGGUGCAUUAAUUAAUUAACAUAUCUCCCUCACAUCUCAGCAGCAGGACCAAACUUCCGCAUCACACAUUACCCCUUGCACUUAAUUUGGGUAAUAUGUUAACCCAUUAUGAUGGGUUUCCUUCGGCGGUCGUAAUCAGUGCCUGCAAUAUUCUAAUGGUAAAUACCGCAUAUAUGAAACGGUCUUUUGUCAAAAGUAAAGCGAAGAUCUUUUAAUACCGGUUUUUAUUCACACAACAAAGACUGAAUUUAUUAAGUUAGAUCUAAAUAACUGGACUGAUGUCACAAACGUACCCCCCCCCCCAAAUUUUCUCACCGGAUUUGGACAAAUUAGAAAAUUGACCUUGAAGAGAACUGGGGGGGACGUGUCCUCCCCAGUCCUCCCCGUGG